UGUAUCAAUUCUUUGUCAGGCAGCGAGAUGAUUGGGUGAAAAGUAUCCGAAGCUCCUCACUUAAAAAAAAAAUAAACUGGAGGUCACGUCCGAUCAAAAGUUACAAGAGUUGUUUAAAGAAGUUUUCAUUUUCCAAAUUAGUUCUUAAACUUGUGACAAGUUUCCUAGAUACAUGCUGCAGAACAAAUACCUUUCUAGAUGGUCUGGAGGGUAGAUGGAGUAGGUAUUAAUCGCAGACAAGUUACAAAUCCUGAGAGUGUUUGAGUUGUUGGAGCACAUAUGGACUUUCAUUCCUAGUGUUGGAAAAUGGAUCUUUACACCGUAAUAUGGCUUCAGCUCUUAUGAAAAAUCCUGGUGGUUCAAACGAACAUCCAUCCUUCAUUCUCCAGAUGUAAGAAGGAACUUAUACUUCUGCUUAUGCACAUCAGAACAACAGAGAAGGGCAUAGACUCUAGGCUUCACACUUUUCAGGGAGGACUUCUGUGAAUCCGGUGGAACUCUUGGUCAUCCUCAUGAAGCACUAAACUUGGGAAAGGAAGAAGGAAGAGGCUGGAGACAGGAACUUCUCUGUUCUCUCUCAAUCAGUAUAGAUUUGCACUCAGUGGAUCUGCAGUUCAGGAUAUGCGGCUAAAGAAUGACUUCUGUAAUCAAGUGGUUGAAGGCCUGGGAAAAUCUUGUCACUUGGAGAGCAGUCGGCACAGAGGCUAGGAAGAGAAGAGGCCAAGAGCAAGGAUUUAUCAGUAUCCAAGCAGCACUUUAAAG
RNAcentral lists this long non-coding RNA (762 nucleotides) under Bos grunniens (domestic yak). Its description in RNAcentral is "lncRNA (ENSBGRG00000019963.1)". Lineage: Eukaryota; Metazoa; Chordata; Mammalia; Artiodactyla; Bovidae. The record is from RNAcentral.